AGUCUAUGCCAUACCACCCUGAACAUGAGAUCUCAUCUGAUUUCAGAAGCCAAGCAGGAGGACCCGGGGAGAUGACUCAGUAGAAUAAGUGCUUCCCUGGCAAGCACAAGGGCCUGAGUUC
Molecule: ribosomal RNA, 121 nt
Filed under: Octodon degus (degu)
Lineage: Eukaryota; Metazoa; Chordata; Mammalia; Rodentia; Octodontidae
Source: RNAcentral